This 324-nucleotide ribosomal RNA is filed under the name uncultured eukaryote. RNAcentral describes it as "partial 18S ribosomal RNA". It matches the Rfam family "Eukaryotic small subunit ribosomal RNA", at positions 1470 to 1796 of the family's 1831-position model. The record is from RNAcentral.
CCCUUAGAUGUCCUGGGCUGCACGCGCGCUACACUGAUGUGUCCAGUAAGCACCUAACCUCUUCCGAAAGGAACGGGUAACCUUUGCAAAGCACAUCGUGAUGGGGAUAGAUUAUUGCAAUUAUUAGUCUUGAACGAGGAAUUCCUAGUAAGCACAAGUCAUCAGCUUGUGUUGAUUACGUCCCUGCCCUUUGUACACACCGCCCGUCGCUCCUACCGAUUGAAUGUUCCGGUGAGCUCUUCGGACUGCGCGGUCUGCAGUUUCUGCGUUCCGUGCGGAAAGUUGCGCAAACCUUAACAUUUAGAGGAAGGAGAAGUCGCAACA